Molecule: ribosomal RNA, 532 nt
Filed under: uncultured bacterium
Lineage: Bacteria
Description: bacterial SSU rRNA
Rfam family: Bacterial small subunit ribosomal RNA
Source: RNAcentral
AGAGUUUGAUCAUGGCUCAGGACGAACGCUGGCGGCGUGCUUAACACAUGCAAGUGGAGCGACGAACCAGGGCUUGCCCUGGGGCAGAGCCGCGAACGGGUGAGUAACACGUGGGUAACGUGCCUCGAUGACCGGGACAACCCGAGGAAACUCGGGCUAAUACCGGAUGUGGAUCCUUCUCGUAAGGGAAGUAUCUAAAGGUAGCUUCGGCCUCCGCAUCGAGAGCGGCCCGCGGCCCAUUAGCUUGUUGGUGGGGUAAUGGCCUACCAAGGCUUCGAUGGGUAGCUGGUCUGAGAGGACGAUUAGCCACACUGGGGCUGAGACACGGCCCAGACUCCUACGGGAGGCAGCAGUGGGGAAUCUUGCGCAAUGCGCGAAAGCGUGACGCAGCAACGCCGCGUGGGGGAAGACGGCCUUCGGGUUGUAAACCCCUUUCAGGAGGGACGAAGGUCGGGCCGUUAAUAGCGGUUCCGGCUGACGGUACCUCCAGAAGAAGCCCCGGCUAACUACGUGCCAGCAGCCGCGGUAAUUC